UACUUCAAGAAACAUUUUUGUAAUUAACUCAAAGGAACUCUUUCAAUUUUCAAAGUUUCAACUUUCUCUACGAAACCACUACCACAAUCGGCAACUGUGAGUUGCUGCUACGACGAUGACAGUGACCUGGCGGCACCUAUAACUUUGUUUUACAUCUGGUAAACUCGUUCAGAUAUAUCUUGUUGCCUAAACGCUCAGAUGAAAAUUUUAUUUUCAGAUCCGAAAAUACAAUAGACAAAUAGUGCCUAAGUUGAUUUGGAUUGUAAUUGUUUACAACUGCUACUGACCGGUGGCUUAUAGAUCUGGUGAACUUGUAGAUAUAUUUCUUGUUUUUAAUCGACUUAUUAGACCUUGAUGCUUUGAUGUUCGUAAUAUGGUUUCCUUUUUUGUUUGUUCGAGCAUCUAAAGACGUGUCAUAUUAGUGAGUUUGAACACCUCAAAAUAACAUUCGAAUCCAUGGUUGGAAGGAGGAUUUGGGGAUGAGAAGUUGUCUAUUGGAAGGAGCAGUCCAUGGUUGCUUUUAAUCGUUUAGAUGGUGCAUUUGGGCAAGUAAACCUUGAGUUUUGGCAGGAAAUCAUGCUUUCUUUGGACAGAUAUGAAAAUUUUGUUCUUCUUUUAAGGUUUUGUGAUGAGAGUGAUAAGAAAAUCCUUGUUUAUGAGUACGCAUCCAAAUCCUUUUAUAAGAGAUGUUUAGAAUUGCAUCCCAAUAGCAGUGAUCUAACUUAGAUCAAAUGCUUGACAAUAUGCAUUGAGAUGGCUCGUGGACUAGACUACCUUCAUAAUUUGGUCGAAACCCAACUUAGGAGUAUUGCACCAUGAUAUCAAGAGUUCAAACAUCCUAUUAGAUAAAUAUUGGAACACCUAAGAGCUUAGAUUUCAGCAAUACUAAAUAUUGGAAGGAAACGGAACACUUUCAAUAUACAAACAUGAAAAUGUGGUCCAUGUUUUGGAGUUUUGGUGAUACGAGGGAUUAGAAGAUUGCUGUGUAUGAGUAUGCAUCUAAUUUGUAUGAGUAUGCAUCUAAAAGAAGUCUAGACUUGCAUCUCAAUACAAUUGGGAUUGCUUGCAGACUAGCAUACCUUCAUAUUUCCACCAGGACCUAACUUAGAGUAUUGCACUUUGAUGUUAAAAGUUUCAAUAUCCUAAGGGGAUAUUGGCAUGCCAAUAUCUUCUCAGAUUCUGGCUUGUCCAAAUUUGCUCCAGCUAACAAGUUCACAUUUAUUUUCACCUCCACCAUUGGUGCAAAUGGAUAUUGUGAUCAACAAUAUUUGUAAGCCCUAUUUUUCACAUAAAGUACGAUGUUUACUCUUUUGGUGUGGUGUUGUUUAAAGCACUAUAUAUGCAGUUUACAACACUAUGUGUGUGGGGGGUUGUGUAUUGGCGACAAUGAUGACUGUCGUUGAACAUGAAUGGCGGGAUGAUGUUGUUAACUAAACAAAGUUAAUACAAUUAGUUUUGCUAAUAUACGAGAUUAAAUAAACCAUAAAACCUUGAGGAACUUUUAAGCAAUAGCUUUUUGAAGCUUGAAGACAGAUCAUGGAAGAUUGAAAGAUACCGUGAGAAUGCUUGAAAAUGCACUUGGAUAUCAAGGCAGGCUAAUAUAGAAAUCUGGGAUUACUGAUAUAGCUGAUUAUUUCACCUUCAUACUCUACGUGUGCCUGGGUGCCCGCAAGCACCUCAUUUCUUGUGGUUAUUGCAACAUAUUCAUUUGUCCUGACCGAUGUUCUCUUGGAAUGAGCAAUGGUUAUGUUCAUGUUCUUGAGCCAGUUGAUCCAGAUAUGAAGUUGGAGCCUGAUAAAUAAUUUUGACUCUAUGGAUACAAGAAAUCACUUUUGCUGUUCAAAGAGUUGCAAAUUAAGGGUUUUUUAUAUUUAUAUUUUUUUUAUUUUUAGUAUCUAUGAUUUUGAGAUCAAAUUGCUAUAGAAAAGGGGCAUACACAUCAUUGGGUGGCCGAAGACCAACGUGAUGUUUAAGCUUGAACGUGAAUUCUAAUGUGUUUACAACUAAAGCAUGUGGAAGCGAUAUAUUUAAGAUGUAAUAUUUUUUAGAGUCAUGUAAGCCAUGGUAAUAUUUCAUUUUGAAAAAUAAGUGAAGAUUCUUAUGCUCUA
Lactuca sativa (garden lettuce) is the source of this 2108-nucleotide long non-coding RNA. RefSeq lists it as uncharacterized. NCBI's taxonomy places the organism in Eukaryota, Viridiplantae, Streptophyta, Magnoliopsida, Asterales, Asteraceae. The record is from RefSeq and is a predicted model, not a curated record.